AAGUAAGCCCCGCCCCAUAUUUGCGGAGGGAGGAAUCCUAUUAACGGAAUAGCCGGGGACUGCAACAGCUGAUUUCCGAGAACUUGCACCACGGCUUCUGAAUCGAGACUGGCUUGGGAUCCUGGAGGCACUAAGGGAGGAAGAGCCCUUGAAGAUGUCUGAUGAGGAUCUGUGUAGCGUUUACACCGCCCUCGCGGACGAGCUGAAGCUGCAGGGCCCGUACAUCAGCCUGGCAACCAGCUUCCUCCAAGGCGAUCAUCAACACUGAGAACCUCUCAACUUGACAGCAAAAGCUUUGAAUUGUAUCACCAGUGACAUGGGAGAUGGCUUCUCAGCAAACUCAAUCACUAUCUGCACUCAGCGGUAGACCAGCCACCCCAGUGGGUAUGUUUGCCACCAUCAAUACAUCCCUCAGAGUCCCUCUUCCCCACCUUAAUCAGAGGAUCAUCCUCAUCCCGGCCAUUUGGAAUUUCAACAAGGACUGGUAAGAUUUAUGUCAUCUCUGAUUUUCAACGUGUGGACUAGCAUAUCUAUGAAAGACUGCUGAACUAUGCAACGUUCUUGCUUCGAGGGCCUUCUGAUCUUUGGGAAAUCUAAACAAAUUGUAUGAGCCAGUGCCUAACAGAAUAAAGCAAGCAUAUAUGUGA
Molecule: non-coding RNA, 647 nt
Organism: Equus caballus (horse)
Lineage: Eukaryota; Metazoa; Chordata; Mammalia; Perissodactyla; Equidae
Source: RefSeq, a predicted model, not a curated record